UCCGUUAUGCAGGCCAUAGACUUCUAUUAUGACGGGAUGCCUCUAAAGGCAUUCCGUUUUGGAAUUGCGUUAUGGUCCGUGGUAAUGGAAUCUAUAACGCAAUUCACAUUAUACCACAAGCAGAACCCAAAACAAAUUUCAAAAUAUGAAAUUUGCUCAUCCCUAGAUGUUAUCAUCAUGUAGCUG
Molecule: long non-coding RNA, 186 nt
Organism: Bufo bufo (common toad)
Lineage: Eukaryota; Metazoa; Chordata; Amphibia; Anura; Bufonidae
Exons: 3
Source: RefSeq, a predicted model, not a curated record